AAAACAUUGAAGUAAUAGCUGACAAUGGUUUCACUGGUCUUAUGCGGUAGUAACUUUAAUGCUUGCUUCAGAAAUUUCUUUCCAUUUAGUUGUAGUUUCCUUUUGACCAGUGACUCGAAGGUCGCUUCUUCCUUUGAUGACCAUGCCUUAGAAACUUGCUCCCCCAUUUCAUCAAAUUUCCAACUGAAGAAAGCAGGACCAAGG
This 204-nucleotide unclassified non-coding RNA is filed under the name Hevea brasiliensis (rubber tree). The record is from RNAcentral. Lineage: Eukaryota; Viridiplantae; Streptophyta; Magnoliopsida; Malpighiales; Euphorbiaceae.